Small nuclear RNA from Arvicola amphibius (Eurasian water vole), 113 nucleotides. RefSeq annotates it as U5 spliceosomal RNA. The transcript has a single exon. NCBI's taxonomy places the organism in Eukaryota, Metazoa, Chordata, Mammalia, Rodentia, Cricetidae. The record is from RefSeq and is a predicted model, not a curated record.
UUUUUUUUUUUUCUUUCCAUAUCAUUUAAAUCUUUCGCCUUUUACUAAGGAUUUCUGUGGAGAGGAACAGAUCCAGUCCUAACACAAUUUUUGAUAUCCUGCCUAUGCAAGGC